UCCAAGGGGAGAUGCCUCACCACACAAUCUCCCUCUCUGCCCUGCCACAGUUGGUACUGAUUUGACUGUCUCUGGAGAAGCCAAGGAUCAAAUGCUCCACGGCGCCAGACUGUUUUCUUUUGCAGCCUGCAGGUCACCAGGAUACUUAAGAAGUUUGCGUUAAUUAUACCAUGUUUGCCAUCAAAGAGGGAAUAUUAACCCUUUCAAGCUGUUGCAGGAAAGCAGUGGAGUCAUUUGAAAGAACUGCUGAAGCCCCCGCUCAGAGCAGCACGCUCCUCGGGGCGCUGGGGGAUGCACCACCCCUCCUGACAGCCUGAUGGAUUAUGGCCCCAGUUCUGUCAGCAGAUCCAACCAAGCCAGCAGAAUGACAGCAGGGAGGCAGC
Oenanthe melanoleuca is the source of this 383-nucleotide long non-coding RNA. RefSeq lists it as uncharacterized. Lineage: Eukaryota; Metazoa; Chordata; Aves; Passeriformes; Muscicapidae. The transcript has 3 exons. The record is from RefSeq and is a predicted model, not a curated record.